AGGAAAUGGUAAUAGUUGCAUCAGAUUCGACUAGGCCUCCUAAGGUUAUAGCCUACAGGAGAACUAUAUGAGGCUUCGGCCCCUUCAAAACUUCCUACUGUUAUUCUACCAUUCCAUUUCAUUAGAAGUCCUACAUGUAUAUUAUGGGAUCCAACACGACCAAGGGAAAAGGAAAUGGUCGUAACUAAUUCAUCUGUGACUUUGCCUCCUACGACCACAACACAUCCAUCUGAGGCUCCGUUACAGCCCCCUUCAGGACAUCCCACGGAUCCUGAACCUCACCCAAUUGCAGAAGACAAAGAUGAG
Cryptomeria japonica (Japanese cedar) is the source of this 306-nucleotide long non-coding RNA. RefSeq lists it as uncharacterized. NCBI's taxonomy places the organism in Eukaryota, Viridiplantae, Streptophyta, Pinopsida, Cupressales, Cupressaceae. The record is from RefSeq and is a predicted model, not a curated record. The transcript has 4 exons.